RNAcentral lists this ribosomal RNA (494 nucleotides) under uncultured bacterium. Its description in RNAcentral is "bacterial SSU rRNA". It matches the Rfam family "Bacterial small subunit ribosomal RNA", at positions 903 to 1397 of the family's 1533-position model. The record is from RNAcentral.
AAAGGAAUUGACGGGGGCCCGCACAAGCGGUGGAGCAUGUGGCUCAAUUCGAGGCAACGCGAAGAACCUUACCUGGGUUUGACAUCAGGGGGACCGGGGAUGAAAGUUCCCUUUCCGCAAGGACCGCCUGACAGGUGCUGCAUGGCUGUCGUCAGCUCGUGUCGUGAGAUGUUCGGUUAAGUCCGGCAACGAGCGCAACCCGUACCGUCUGUUACCAGCGGGUAAAGCCGGGGACUCUGACGGGACUGCCCGUGUUAAGCGGGAGGAAGGUGCGGAUGACGUCAAGUCAGUAUGGCCCUUACAUCCAGGGCUGCACACGUGCUACAAUGGCCGGUACAAUGGGGUGCAAGACCGCGAGGUGGAGCAAAUCCUGAAAACCGGCCCCAGUUCAGAUUGAAGUCUGCAACUCGACUUCAUGAAGCCGGAAUCGCUAGUAAAGGCGUAUCAGCUACGACGCCUUGAAUACGUUCCCGGGCCUUGUACACACCGCCCGU